RNAcentral lists this ribosomal RNA (253 nucleotides) under uncultured bacterium. RNAcentral's name for it is "partial 16S ribosomal RNA". It matches the Rfam family "Bacterial small subunit ribosomal RNA", at positions 524 to 776 of the family's 1533-position model. The record is from RNAcentral.
UACGGAGGGAGCUAGCGUUGUUCGGAAUUACUGGGCGUAAAGCGCGCGUAGGCGGCCUUGCAAGUUAGAGGUGAAAGCCCGGAGCUCAACUCCGGAACUGCCUUUAAAACUGCAUAGCUUGAAUCCGGGAGAGGUGAGUGGAAUUCCGAGUGUAGAGGUGAAAUUCGUAGAUAUUCGCAAGAACACCAGUGGCGAAGGCGGCUCACUGGGUCAUUACUGACGCUGAGGCACGAAAGCGUGGGGAGCAAACAGG